GUGCUCACUUUGGCAGCACAUAUACAAAAACUGGAAUGAUACAGAGAAGAUUAACAUGGCCCCUGCGCAAGGAUGACAUGCAAAUUCAUGAAGCGUUCCAUAUUUUU
RNAcentral lists this small nuclear RNA (107 nucleotides) under Salvator merianae (Argentine black and white tegu). Lineage: Eukaryota; Metazoa; Chordata; Lepidosauria; Squamata; Teiidae. The record is from RNAcentral.